AGAUGUAUCAACACUUAAAGAAACAUUUGACUGGUCAACUUGAACUAUUGGAUGAGUCAAAUGUUUAUCUACAGAGUAGCAUCAGUGAUUUUGUACAGCAGAUUAAGAUCAGAGCCAAUGGAUGUUUAGGCAACAUUCAGGACUCCAAUAAAGAUGUGAAAGAUGCUAUUGCUAUGGUAAAAACAGCACAAAGUACUUUGCAUGAACUCACAGAUGUUUUUACAGAAUCCACAAAGCUCUACCCUCCCACUGUGAUAACAGGAGAAAAGACAACACCAGAAAGUUUGCAACCAACAGAUAGUGGAUUAAUUUCUAAAGACUUAUUAUCUGGUACAUUUACUUAUACUCCCUAAAUUGUCAAUCACUGAUCAACACAACAAAAGACAAUGAAAAGAAAAGUGUAAACACAAUCAAUAAUU
This is a long non-coding RNA of Physella acuta, 419 nucleotides long. RefSeq lists it as uncharacterized. NCBI's taxonomy places the organism in Eukaryota, Metazoa, Mollusca, Gastropoda, Physidae. The record is from RefSeq and is a predicted model, not a curated record.